CCUACGGGAGGCUGCAGUGGGGAAUAUUGCACAAUGGGCACAAGCCUGAUGCAGCCAUGCCGCGUGUGUGAAGAAGGCCUUCGGGUUGUAAAGCACUUUCAGCGGGGAGGAGGGCGUUAAGGUUAAUAACCUUGGCGAUUGACGUUACCCGCAGAAGAAGCACCGGCUAACUCCGUGCCAGCAGCCGCGGUAAUACGGAGGGUGCAAGCGUUAAUCGGAAUUACUGGGCGUAAAGCGCACGCAGGCGGUCUGUCAAGUCGGAUGUGAAAUCCCCGGGCUCAACCUGGGAACUGCAUUCGAAACUGGCAGGCUAGAGUCUUGUAGAGGGGGGUAGAAUUCCAGGUGGAGCGGUGAAAUGCGUAGAGAUCUGGAGGAAUACCGGUGGCGAAGGCGGCCCCCUGGACAAAGACUGACGCUCAGGUGCGAAAGCGUGGGGAGCAAACAGGAUUAGAUACCCCGGUAGGC
Molecule: ribosomal RNA, 465 nt
Filed under: uncultured Klebsiella sp.
Lineage: Bacteria; Pseudomonadati; Pseudomonadota; Gammaproteobacteria; Enterobacterales; Enterobacteriaceae
Description: bacterial SSU rRNA
Rfam family: Bacterial small subunit ribosomal RNA
Source: RNAcentral